AAGAAAAGGGUUAGGGUCUAAAACAGGCUGCAAACAGGUUGAAAACAGGCUUUUUUUCUGGUCCUGACCAGUGCUUCUGAAAACAAAAAUGAGGCUGGGUGUGGUGACUCACACCUGUAAUCCCAGCACUUUGGGAGGCCAAGGCGGGUGGUGGAUCGCUUGAGGUCAGGAGUUCAAGACCAGCCUGACGAACAUGGUAUCAUUAACCCAAUCGAAGCCAAGCAGAGAAAGGGAAAAGGUGCUGUGGGGGCUUAUGGGUCCGAGCGCACCACUCAGUCCAUGCAAGACUUCCCUGUGGUUGACUCAGAGGAAGAAGCUGAAGAGGAGUUUCAAAAGGAGCUGAGCCAGUGGAGGAAAGACCCAAGUGGAAGCAAGAAGAAGCCCAAAUACUCUUACAAGACCGUGGAAGAGUUGAAGGCCAAGGGCAGGAUUAGCAAGAAGCUCACUGCUCCCCAGAAGGAACUUUCUCAAGUCAAGGUCAUAGACAUGACAGGCCGGGAGCAGAAGGUCUACUACAGCUACAGUCAGAUCAGCCACAAGCACAACGUUCCCGAUGAUGGGCUGCCGCUGCA
RNAcentral lists this small RNA (572 nucleotides) under Pongo abelii (Sumatran orangutan). RNAcentral describes it as "processed transcript". The record is from RNAcentral. Lineage: Eukaryota; Metazoa; Chordata; Mammalia; Primates; Hominidae.